AUGUGUGCUUAUGCAUGUGUCCCUGUGUACAGGAGUGUGUGUGUUUAUACAUGCAUCCCUGUGCACAGGGGUGUGCUUCUGUAUGCAUGUGUCCCCAUGUACAUGUGUGUGUGUUUAUGCAUGCAUCCCCAUGUACAGGUGUGUUUAUGCAUGCAUCCCCGUGUACAAUGUGUGUGUGUGUGUAUGCAUGCAUCCCCGUGUACAAUGUGUGUGUGUGUGUAUGCAUGCAUCCCCAUGUACAGGUGUGUUUAUGCAUGCAUCCCCAUGUACGAUGUGUGUGUGUGUGUGUUUAUGCAUGCAUCCCCGUGUACAGGUGUGUGUGUGUUUAUGCAUGCAUCCCCGUGUACAAUGUGUGUGUGUGUUUAUGCAUGCAUCCCCAUGUACGAUGUGUGUGUGUGUGUGUUUAUGCAUGCAUCCCCGUGUACAAUGUGUGUGUGUGUUUAUGCAUGCAUCCCCGUGUACAAUGUGUGUGUGUGUGUACGCAUGCAUCCCCGUGUACAGGUGUGUGUGUUUAUCAUGCAUCCCCAUGUACAUGUGUGUGUGUUUAUGCAUGCAUCCCCAUGUACAGGUGUGUUUAUGCAUGCAUCCCCAUGUACGAUGUGUGUGUGUGUGUUUAUGCAUGCAUCCCGUGUACAAUGUGUGUGUGUUUAUGCAUGCAUCCCGUGUACAAUGUGUGUGUGUGUACCAUGCAUCCCCGUGUACAGGUGUGUGUGUUUAUCAUGCAUCCCCAUGUACAUGUGUGUGUGUUUAUUCAUGUGUCCCCAUGUACAGGUGUGUGUGUUUAUGCAUGCAUCCCCAUGUACGAUGUGUGUGUGUGUGUGUGUGUGUUUAUGCAUGUGUCCCUGUGUACAGGGGUGUGUGUGUUUAUGCAUGUGUCCACA
RNAcentral lists this long non-coding RNA (881 nucleotides) under Macaca mulatta (Rhesus monkey). RNAcentral describes it as "lncRNA (ENSMMUG00000059161.1)". The record is from RNAcentral. Lineage: Eukaryota; Metazoa; Chordata; Mammalia; Primates; Cercopithecidae.